This 680-nucleotide ribosomal RNA is filed under the name uncultured soil bacterium. RNAcentral's name for it is "bacterial SSU rRNA". It matches the Rfam family "Bacterial small subunit ribosomal RNA", at positions 37 to 761 of the family's 1533-position model. The record is from RNAcentral.
UGGCGGCAGGCCUAACACAUGCAAGUCGAACGCUCGUAGCAAUACAAGAGUGGCAGACGGGUGAGUAACACGUGGGAACCUUCCCUAUGGUUCGGAAUAGCUCAGGGAAACUUGGGGUAAUACCGGAUAAGCCCUUCGGGGGAAAGAUUUAUCGCCAUUGGAUGGGCCCGCGUAGGAUUAGCUAGUUGGUGAGGUAACGGCUCACCAAGGCGACGAUCCUUAGCUGGUCUGAGAGGAUGAUCAGCCACACUGGGACUGAGACACGGCCCAGACUCCUACGGGAGGCAGCAGUGGGGGAUAUUGGACAAUGGGCGCAAGCCUGAUCCAGCCAUGCCGCGUGAGUGACGAAGGUCUUCGGAUUGUAAAACUCUUUUGGCGGGGACGAUAAUGACGGUACCCGCAGAAUAAGCCCCGGCUAACUUCGUGCCAGCAGCCGCGGUAAUACGAAGGGGGCUAGCGUUGUUCGGAAUCACUGGGCGUAAAGCGCACGUAGGCGGAUGUGUCAGUCAGGGGUGAAAUCCCGGAGCUCAACUUCGGAACUGCCUCUGAUACAGCACGUCUUGAGUUCGAGAGAGGUGGGUGGAAUUCCUAGUGUAGAGGUGAAAUUCGUAGAUAUUAGGAAGAACACCGGUGGCGAAGGCGGCCCACUGGCUCGAUACUGACGCUGAGGUGCGAAAGCG